AUGAGAAGCAGAUCAUGCGCCACCGCAAGGACAUGUGCACCGGCUCCUGUGCCAGGUACGGGGUCGACAACAGCCACCGCAAUCCCAAGGUCACACUACGUGCAGACUGCUCUAAGGAUAUGGUUGUAUAAUGCAAUUUUUGUCAUGUUGCUCUAUCUACGUAGUGACAAGUGUAGUACUCCCUUUCAUAGUUCAUGUGCAGUAUGGAGUAUGUUUUAUCACACAUGGUCAUGUGCACUAUGCAAUUUCCCUUUGAUGACUAACAAUUGGAACGAAAUGUUGGAAGUAGUGCAAACAUGUAAAAGAAAGUUAUGGGCACAAACUGCUGGUUGGGGUGCGGGAGCAAACUUCACGAUGGCCUAG
This 363-nucleotide ribosomal RNA is filed under the name Triticum aestivum (bread wheat). RNAcentral's name for it is "partial small subunit ribosomal RNA". Lineage: Eukaryota; Viridiplantae; Streptophyta; Magnoliopsida; Poales; Poaceae. The record is from RNAcentral.